RNAcentral lists this long non-coding RNA (237 nucleotides) under Mytilus galloprovincialis (Mediterranean mussel). The record is from RNAcentral. Lineage: Eukaryota; Metazoa; Mollusca; Bivalvia; Mytilida; Mytilidae.
AAUACCUUGACUGAGAAUAUUUUGUAGACAAGAAUAUAAAAUGUAUUUAGUGCAGAGGAUAUGGAAAUUAAAUAAUCUUGACCAGCUAACCAUCUGUGUUCAUUUGAUAACAUCAGUGGACACCAACUGUGAUAGAAGUACUUAACCUAAUCAUUUAAUUGCUUGUAUAAACAAUCAAUUACAUGGUUUCAAUGUUGAAUAUCAGGGAAAAUCCGGGCUGUUCUCUAAAGUAUAAAC